This 837-nucleotide ribosomal RNA is filed under the name Paraegista apoiensis. Its description in RNAcentral is "partial 16S ribosomal RNA". Lineage: Eukaryota; Metazoa; Mollusca; Gastropoda; Stylommatophora; Camaenidae. The record is from RNAcentral.
UCACGAAAUGGUAUGAGCUAAUUAUAUAUAAUUCGUAGAUUGUAACUAGUAUGUGGUAUAAUACUAAAACAAGAUGUAAUUAGGUGUGACAGGCAACCCAAAUUCCAAGAUAUCUUGAUAGUACUAAAAAGUAUUAAGUACAUAAACAAAUAUAAAGUUUUAAGGUUUUAUAUGUGUUUUAACCAAAAUUUAAAAUUCAGUGGUUUAAUCGCCAAUUGCACGUAAAUAAAAAUAUUCAUUUUUUAGGGUUUAAACUUUUCUAGUACUGCUAACCUAAUUAAAUUAUUUAGUAAUAAUGUUACCAUUAGUAUACACUAAGGCGUCCAAAAUGAAUUCGGCCAUAAUCACUCUCAACUGUUUACCAAAAACAUAGCUAUAUGUGGUUAUAUAUAGUUAUUUCUGCUCAAUGUUAAAUAAAUAGCCGCAGUACUCUGACUGUGCAAAGGUAGCAUAAUCAAUUGGCUUAUAAUUGAAGUCUAGUAUGAAAGAAUACAUGGGGGUGGACUAUAUGUAUGGACGAAACCAAAAAUUAUUUAAUAGGUGAAAAGACCUAUAACUAAACAAUAGACGAGAAGACCCUAGAAAUUUUAAGUAUAUUUUAUUUAAUUGGUUUUUGUUGGGGCGACACAGUAGCAGUGACAACCUACUGAGAUGAAUAUGAUAAUUAUAUUUCGGAUAACUAAAUUACUCUAGGGAUAACAGCAUAAUAUUAAAAAGUUUGUGACCUCGAUGUUGGAUUAGGAUACUACUACCCAGAAGGUUAAUAGUUAAGCUCUGUUCGAGCUAUUUACUCCUACAUGAUCUGAGUUCAGACCGGCGUAAGCCAGGUCAGUUUCU